Molecule: ribosomal RNA, 455 nt
Filed under: uncultured Methanomethylovorans sp.
Lineage: Archaea; Methanobacteriati; Methanobacteriota; Methanomicrobia; Methanosarcinales; Methanosarcinaceae
Description: bacterial SSU rRNA
Rfam family: Archaeal small subunit ribosomal RNA
Source: RNAcentral
AACGGGUGGAGCUUGCGGUUUAAUUGGACUCAACGCCGGAAAACUCACCGGGGGCGACAGCAAUAUGUAGGUCAAGCUAAAGACUUUACCAGAAUCGCUGAGAGGAGGUGCAUGGCCGUCGUCAGUUCGUACUGUGAAGCAUCCUGUUAAGUCAGGCAACGAGCGAGACCCGUGCCCACUGUUGCCAGCAUGUCCUUCGGGAUGAUGGGUACUCUGUGGGACCGCCGAUGCUAAAUCGGAGGAAGGUGCGGGCUACGGUAGGUCAGUAUGCCCCGAAUCUCCCGGGCUACACGCGGGCUACAAUGACUGGGACAAUGGGCUCCUACCCCGAAAGGGGAUGGUAAUCUCAUAAACCCAGCCUUAGUUCGGAUCGAGGGCUGUAACCCGCCCUCGUGAAGCUGGAAUCCGUAGUAAUCGCGUUUCAACAUAGCGCGGUGAAUACGUCCCUGCUCCUU